CUAAGCCCAUCAACCAGGCAGUCUAGUGAGAGGAAACGCAGCGGCGAGGCCGAUGGCUCCCACUGGCGAGAAGAACUGAAAAUAAAGGAAUACUACAGGAAGUGGGGGCAGUGGAUUAAAAUGUCACAACUGGAAAGCAGGAUGCUGAAUCUUGAGUUACGUGUUGAGAGAAGAGAAAGAGAAGGAGGAACUGAGGAGGAGCCAGCCAAGGCGGGGGUCUGCUGAGCUGGCGGAAUGUGGCAGGGCUGGGACGCUACAGAAGUAAAAGUGAUACUAAGUGACAAGAACAAGCAGUUGGAAAAAGUCUGUCUUAAAAGGAGGUUUGCAACAUACAAGCUUACAAUUACUAACUGAUAACCAGGAGCAGAAUCAAGACACAGCCCAAGUUUCCAGACUCCUGUCUCUCCAGACUCCCAAUCUAAUAUUCGUCUUACCACGCCCUCCUGCACCCUUGCAGCUACUCCACAUCAGCAAUUCAUUCUCAGUUUUUCUCUCACACUUUUUUUUUAACUAAUAAAUUUCUCUUUCAUUCUCAAUUCAGAGUUGGGGUUUUGGAGAGCCCUUCAGAAAUAAGGAGGGCAGCAGGGCGAACUAAGAAG
RNAcentral lists this long non-coding RNA (599 nucleotides) under Equus caballus (horse). RNAcentral's name for it is "lncRNA (ENSECAG00000060039.1)". Lineage: Eukaryota; Metazoa; Chordata; Mammalia; Perissodactyla; Equidae. The record is from RNAcentral.